CUACGGGCCGCACCAGUGGGGAAUAUUGCACAAUGGAGGAAACUCUGAUGCAGCAACGCCGCGUGGAGGAUGACACUUUUCGGAGCGUAAACUCCUUUUAUAUAGGAAGAAGAUGACGGUACUAUAUGAAUAAGCGCCGGCUAACUCCGUGCCAGCAGCCGCAGGUAAUACGGAGGGCGCAAGCGUUACUCGGAAUCACUGGGCGUAAAGAGCGUGUAGGCGGAUUAAAAAGUCAGAAGUGAAAUCCUAUAGCUUAACUAUAGAACUGCUUCUGAAACUCUUAAUCUAGAAUAUGGGAGAGGUAGAUGGAAUUUCUGGUGUAGGGGUAAAAUCCGUAGAGAUCAGAAGGAAUACCGAUUGCGAAGGCGAUCUACUAGAACAUUAUUGACGCUGAGACGCGAAAGCGUGAGGAGCAAACAGGAUUAGAUACCCCGGUAGUC
RNAcentral lists this ribosomal RNA (440 nucleotides) under uncultured bacterium. Its description in RNAcentral is "partial 16S ribosomal RNA". It matches the Rfam family "Bacterial small subunit ribosomal RNA", at positions 339 to 795 of the family's 1533-position model. The record is from RNAcentral.